AUACCACUCGAUUACAACUGACCCACAACGGUAAAACGAUUUUCAUAAUUGGAAGAUAUGCAUCUCACAAUAUCUUCAAGAUAUACGAGAGAUUAUUAGCAGCAGCUUUCCUCAUACAUUUCAAGAUUCCAAUCACGACAGACUUCAACCAUUGUCUCUUUAAAUCAUUCCUAGGAGCCAUCUAAGUAAGUCUGAAGUCAAAUGCACAUUAAGUAUAGAGC
RNAcentral lists this long non-coding RNA (221 nucleotides) under Elaeis guineensis (African oil palm). RNAcentral describes it as "long non-coding RNA (EGUI_LNC027221)". The record is from RNAcentral. Lineage: Eukaryota; Viridiplantae; Streptophyta; Magnoliopsida; Arecales; Arecaceae.